CUGGUAUGAGACUCUUUUGCGUCCCAAUGUGAAACGGCACUAGCACGGUCUGUUCGUUGUUCCUUGUUUUCCCCUCGCCAACGGAAACCGGUUUGGGUGGCAAAAAGAGUCCUCAUCUGAACAUUCACAUAGAUGGCGUUCACAAGGGGACUCUUUUGUCGUUUAUAAUCGGCAAAUUCUCUUUUGGUGUCGCUCUGUCUGUCUCAGCUACUCGAAUCGAGUUUUUCAAACAUUCCUUUUCAAAUUUUGUUUUUUAUUUAUUACAAAACAUUCAUGAAUUAAUUAUAUUUCUUGUUUUAAAUAAAAUGUUACAUGAUAUUCAAACUAAUUCAUUUGCGGUUAAAAAAAAAAAUAUGAAAGCAUCUUAAUAAUUUAUGUAAACAUAAACAAUUAAAAGUAACUCCAUUUUCAUUAGAAUCAAUUUCUAAAUGUAUAUAUUAUUACAUUUAAUACUGCUAAAUGUUAUUACAAAUUUAAAUUAAAUAGUUUUGAGUAUCUUAAUUUUGAAUAUUUUAUUUUUGAGAAAACUCAAAACCUUAAACUAAUGAAUAUAGCCUAAACUGCGUAUCACCGAUUAAGUAGCGCCCCUUGGCACUAACGCACAUGUUCAUCUUUGAACAUAUCUAUAGAAAAUGACGAAGUAACCUAUGCACCAGUUUUCGGUAACCUAUAGAUAACAAUAGCUCUAACCAACCAAACCAUUUUUAGUAACAGAUGUCUGACCAAACAAAUAGCCAAUGUAAAGGACGCUGCUAACCAAAGAGUAACAUAUAGUUUCCAAAAAAAGAGAAGAAAUAAUUACGUUUUUCCCGAAGAACAAAAGUAACCUAUCUGAUAACAAAUGCAUUAAUCAGUGAUAACCUAACGGUAAAAGGUUAACUUACUUUUACCCAUCAUGUAGAAUGUGUGACGCAAUUUUAUGGUAAUAACACACACUGACCAACAUAUUUGGCAUAAAGUCUGUAAAAGUAACGAAAAUCAUUAUAUGAAGUAUAUAAAUAUACACUUUUAUGCACUAAACAAAAUAACCGAAUUUAUCAAUUUUAGGCACAAGGUCUUAAAUAGAGGCCCGUUCUGAACUUUAUUAAGAUAACUCACAUAUUAACCAAUAUACACGUUAUAAAAUAAUACAAGUAUUUUUGGCCAAUAUUUAUAAUCAGUUUAUAUUAAGAAUUAUUUUUCACUCUUUAGUUUGAAGUGCUAUAAAAGAGUGUUUUUGUGGUGUUUCCACUUUCUUCAAGGAUGUGUUUGAGUGAAUUUGUUAUUCAAACGACAGUAUAGAAGGUCAUACUUUCAACUGCAUAGUGUUAUGGGUAUUUUUUUGCAGAAUGGAGAGUUGAAGCUUCUAGUUGCAUAGUUUUACAUUUCUUUAAAUUUUUGCAGUCCCUUUCAAACUGUUGAUUCUUUUGGCAGUACCAGCAGACGAAAUAUAUAAGCAAUUCACAAGCUUUGUCUUAUGUCGUAUUUCAAGAAUCUUAAAUAAUACGACAAUUGUGAGCGCCCCUAAAGGUUGUAUGUCAUAUUGUGUAAUGUUUCUACACUUCACCAGCUUUUAGUGAAAAAUUAAGAAUACAAAAAUGUCCCGAGAAUGUGACAAAAAUAAAAAUUUUCAUGUUUAAAUAGCGGCGUUUUGGUUUUCACUUUUCAUUAACUUAAUUUACUGGAAUAUCGUGGUUUCCUUCCAUAUUAUUAACGAAAUUUAUUAUGAAUUUUAUUUAAUAUUUUAAUUUAAGACACUUAAACGUCAACAAUAAAAAAGAGUAAACAUAUACAGCUGAUAGAAUGGCACACUCAAAAAACAUACCUCGCCUUCCGAAGCAUAUGCCAGUGUACCUCUGCUUAAAAGGUGGAGUGUUACGGUGGAUCUACACUGCGAAUUGUUAUUGCCAACCAACUUUUAUGCCUGUGGCACCUGAGGUUUCCAAUAUUUUUCGAGACAGCAUAUAUUGCCUGUCGAAAUGCCGCGCUAUAGAACAUUGAACAAAAAAGCGAUCGAUAAUUUACUAAACAACCGUUGAUGUAGAUAAUAAGUUUAAUGUGCAUUGGUUUGUAAAACUAUAAAAGGGAAUUAUUUAUUAUUAAAAGAAUAGAUAAUUUUAGUAACGACUAUUCAUCUUAUUUAGUUUAAAAUGUGAGUACUAUAAAAUUGUAUCACGGCGUUUAAAUUAACAUAUUGACGAAAUGACUUUGUUGUUAACAAUUCAUGGUCGAAUGUCAUUAGUUUGUCCCAAAUUUGUCAACCAUUUGCCGGUGUUCCAAUAAAGUUUCUUUGGGUCGGCUUUAAAAUACCGUCCCAGGAUUUCGGGAAUAAAAUGGAUAUGGCCGGAAAGAGGAGGUCCUCCAGAUCAAGAAUAUAUCUAGAUAUAGCCGCGGGCAACUUAUAGUUUUCGAGAUAUAUACGUUUAAAGUUGAAACUUUCAACUAUUUAAAGUACGUAUUUUUUCGAUUUAAAAUGAAUUAUACAUUUACACAUAGCCAAUAAAGUCUGCGUUCACCCGACAUUAUGUUUUAAGUGAAGUAAAAACACAAUGUAAAUAAGUAAUUCAGUUCAAAUUUUCUACAUGUAUUUCUUCUUUAUAUUCUUAAGUUCAAAAUGCAAAAACAAAAAUGUAUAUUCCCUAUUUUAAUUUUUGUGAUAACGGGAUUUUAGUGUAAGAACAAGUAACCAUAGGCACCUUAAGUCUGCGUUCAGUUAGCUUGAAUUGGAAAUACCGUUACUUUUCAUGAAUUUGUUCGAUUUUUUUUGCGUAGAUUCUAUUGUGUUUUAACAUAAUUAGUCGUUUAGAGAGCUCGUGACGCGUUUUAAUAAUAUUUAAAAAAAUGGAAACCA
Molecule: non-coding RNA, 2830 nt
Organism: Bactrocera oleae (olive fruit fly)
Lineage: Eukaryota; Metazoa; Arthropoda; Insecta; Diptera; Tephritidae
Source: RefSeq, a predicted model, not a curated record